RNAcentral lists this ribosomal RNA (248 nucleotides) under uncultured Oscillospiraceae bacterium. RNAcentral's name for it is "partial 16S ribosomal RNA". It matches the Rfam family "Bacterial small subunit ribosomal RNA", at positions 796 to 1041 of the family's 1533-position model. The record is from RNAcentral. Lineage: Bacteria; Bacillati; Bacillota; Clostridia; Eubacteriales; Oscillospiraceae.
CACGCUGUAAACGAUGAUUACUAGGUGUGGGGGGACUGACCCCUUCCGUGCCGCAGUUAACACAAUAAGUAAUCCACCUGGGGAGUACGGCCGCAAGGUUGAAACUCAAAGGAAUUGACGGGGGCCCGCACAAGCAGUGGAGUAUGUGGUUUAAUUCGAAGCAACGCGAAAAACCUUACCAGGUCUUGACAUCCUAAGAAUCCUGUAGAGAUACGGGAGUGCCCUUCGGGGAACUUAGAGACAGGUGG